UAACAACAGGAUGAUGCCCUAUCAACUGUUUAAAAGAUGGUUCUGCUAUCACUCUUGGGAUGGGACCCUGCGGUGCAUUUAGCUAGUUGGUAGGGUAACGGCCUACCAAGGCGAUGAUGCAUAGCCGAGUUGAGAGACUGAUCGGCCACAUUGGGACUGAGACACGGCCCAAACUCCUACGGGAGGCAGCAGUAGGGAAUCUUCCACAAUGGACGCAAGUCUGAUGGAGCAACGCCGCGUGAGUGAAGAAGGGCUUCGGCUCGUAAAGCUCUGUUGUUGGUGAAGAAGGACAGGGGUAGUAACUGACCUUUGUUUGACGGUAAUCAAUUAGAAAGUCACGGCUAACUACGUGCCAGCAGCCGCAGUAAU
Molecule: ribosomal RNA, 369 nt
Filed under: uncultured Lactobacillus sp.
Lineage: Bacteria; Bacillati; Bacillota; Bacilli; Lactobacillales; Lactobacillaceae
Description: bacterial SSU rRNA
Rfam family: Bacterial small subunit ribosomal RNA
Source: RNAcentral